RNAcentral lists this long non-coding RNA (822 nucleotides) under Nicotiana tabacum (common tobacco). RNAcentral's name for it is "long non-coding RNA (NTAB_LNC017175)". Lineage: Eukaryota; Viridiplantae; Streptophyta; Magnoliopsida; Solanales; Solanaceae. The record is from RNAcentral.
AUGAAGAUGAAAAUUUUUCGUUGCUGCUAUAAUAGCUACAAAUACAUAUAUUUUAUUGGUAACUAAUUUCUAGUAGUAUAUUAUCUAACCAUCCAUUACAUAGUAAUUGGAGUUAUACCCUCUUAACAACAUUGAAUGCAUGCGCCUUUAUCGCAAAUGCAACAUUUGGUUUUACAUUGUGAUGCAAAAGCGCAACCUGAAAUUCACGAAACAAACAUAUUUCAUAUACAAUAGAUAAAAAAAAAAUAAAGACGGUAAACCUAACAAUAGAAAGCCGAAUCUACCAGUUUUGAAACCAAAAAUACGCUUUUGUAAUCGUGAUUAUAAAAAUAAUUAUGUACACAUAAGGAAAAUUUGAAUCUAUUAGUUCCAAAACCAUUACUUCAAAAAAAGUAAAAAAAAAAAAAACUUAUCUUGAAAUUUCAAUAUUAAACAUCAAUUUCAAACCUUCCAUACGUAUAUAUUUUUGAGUUAUUUAGUAUCUUUGAAGAUACAUUAAUUUUUAAGGUAUGAAAAUUAGUUGUCGACGCAAGAAUGAGAAAAUAAAAGGAAAAAGUAAAAAUAAAAAAAUUAAAAUUAGAUAUACCUGUAAUAGUUACACGAGUGCUACGACUUGCAACAGACAGUUUUAGUGAUGUUACUUCUGGUGCGUAUGAUAGCUCCGAUACAUAUGAUGGUUUUGGUGCAUCCGAAGACUCUGGCACCCCCUGAGUUAAUGAAAAAAGAACAAACAUGACAAAAAUCAUAUAAACCAAAACAUUGGUUGAUUUUGUCAUCGUAAAUAACUAUACUUGUUAUGCCUAUAGGUACUUUUAUUUUUUU